Molecule: microRNA precursor, 185 nt
Filed under: Oryza glumipatula
Lineage: Eukaryota; Viridiplantae; Streptophyta; Magnoliopsida; Poales; Poaceae
Description: MIR812 microRNA precursor family
Rfam family: MIR812 microRNA precursor family
Source: Rfam by way of RNAcentral
AAAAAGGCAAACAGUUGAUUCUCGUGUCAACGUGUUUGACUGUCCGUUUUAUACGAAAUUUUUUUAUAAUUAAUAUUUUCAUUGUUGUUAGAAGAUAAAAUAUGAUUAAUACUUUAUAUGUGACUUAUUUUUUAUUUUUUAUUUAUUUUUUUUAAACAAGACGGACGGUCAAACGUGUAACGAGG